UGAUUUUGUAUUUUAUCAAUAUGGAAAUUGAGCAAACAUCCAAUCCCCCUUUCACUUUGCAAUAAUAAAAUGCACUUGAGAAUAAAUGAUAGACCUCGUUAGAUUGGGUAAGCAAAGGAAUGGAUGCAAGUUGAAAUUAGAGGGCUUGAUCAUACAGAACAUAAAUACAUAUGGUUGAAAAUUCAUCCUUUCAUUCUUAGAGCACCUGAAAGGAGAUGAUUUACACACUACCAACAUUUACUCAACAUCCUCC
RNAcentral lists this unclassified non-coding RNA (253 nucleotides) under Hevea brasiliensis (rubber tree). Lineage: Eukaryota; Viridiplantae; Streptophyta; Magnoliopsida; Malpighiales; Euphorbiaceae. The record is from RNAcentral.